UUCCGCUAAGACCGCAUAAGACCACAGCACCGCAUGGUGCAGGGGUAAAAUAUUUAUAGGUAUAAGAUGGAUCCGCGUCCGAUUAGCUAGUUGGUGAGGUAAAGGCCCACCAAGGCGACGAUCGGUAGCCGGCCUGAGAGGGUGAACGGCCACAUUGGGACUGAGACACGGCCCAAACUCCUACGGGAGGCAGCAGUGGGGAAUAUUGGACAAUGGGGGAAACCCUGAUCCAGCGACGCCGCGUGAGUGAAGAAGUAUUUCGGUAUGUAAAGCUCUAUCAGCAGGGAAGAAAAUGACGGUACCUGACUAAGAAGCCCCGGCUAACUACGUGCCAGCAGCCGCGGUAAUACGUAGGGGGCAAGCGUUAUCCGGAUUUACUGGGUGUAAAGGGAGCGCAGACGGCAAUGCAAGUCCGAAGUGAAAGGCGUGGGCUCAACCCAUGAACUGCUUUGGAAACUGUAUAGCUUGAGUGUCGGAGGGGUAAGCGGAAUUCCUAGUGUAGCGGUGAAAUGCGUAGAUAUUAGGAGGACACCGGAGGCGAAGGCGGC
Molecule: ribosomal RNA, 548 nt
Filed under: uncultured Lachnospiraceae bacterium
Lineage: Bacteria; Bacillati; Bacillota; Clostridia; Lachnospirales; Lachnospiraceae
Description: bacterial SSU rRNA
Rfam family: Bacterial small subunit ribosomal RNA
Source: RNAcentral